CCCCAGCUGACGAGACUCAACCAGGUCGAAACAGCUGUCCAGCAG
Molecule: non-coding RNA, 45 nt
Filed under: Echinostoma caproni
Lineage: Eukaryota; Metazoa; Platyhelminthes; Trematoda; Plagiorchiida; Echinostomatidae
Source: RNAcentral